Vespula vulgaris is the source of this 861-nucleotide long non-coding RNA. RefSeq lists it as uncharacterized. The record is from RefSeq and is a predicted model, not a curated record. The transcript has 3 exons. NCBI's taxonomy places the organism in Eukaryota, Metazoa, Arthropoda, Insecta, Hymenoptera, Vespidae.
UACAGUUGAAAAUCGUAGGAGAUCGCGAUCUUUACCUCGUCGCGACACCGGCCGAAGACAACGCUCACGUGCUCGCCCUUCUUGGCCCUCUUCAACCUUGGGACACCAUGCUCCAUUACCGUUCAAGAAAAAGAAAGGAACGUAAAGGAGUAUGAAAUGAAAAGAAAGAAGGAAGGAAGGAAGGAAGGAAGGAAGGAAGGAAGGAAGGAAGGAAGGAAGGAAGGAAGCAAGGAAAGAAGGAAGGUCGGAAGCUCCUUCUCUCGGCUCGCAUCGUGGUCCACCGCGGAAGAACUGCUGGAACUCGGAUCGAAUAAGAAGAGAAAGACGGAGAAGAAGAAGAAGACGAAGAAGAAAAAUACGAAGGAGAAGACGAAGGAGAAGAUGAAGAAGAAGGAGGAGAAGAGGCUGCGGCCCUUUUGCACGAGGCUCGCUAGCAGAUUGGACAGGACGGCUCCCUGCACGUUUGCUAUUCGUGCGAGGGCCAUGAACCCCGAACAGGUUGCCCCCUUGGACGUUCACCUUCUGUAGGAACACCGUUCCCCCUCCCUGCAACAGGCUUCUCGAAAACCUGGCUCGCUGGCCCUUCCUUGUGCUCCAUCUCGUUCCAAGGACUCGUCCGUCUCUUUCCAACCCUCCUCACCUUCUCUUUCUCCCCAUUUUUCUCCCCGUCCACGAAAGCUGGCCACCCUGACCCUGAGGACCUAUGUCGCUUCUCUUCCCCACCGUACUCGGACCCCUCAACACACCUACCACCCGUUCGUGCGUACUAUAGUCACGCUACACCGACGGUGUUAGAUAAUCCGACGCGUUAAAAAUCUGUCGAUCUUCUAAGAACACCUUUGAAGGUCUAAACACGAUAUA